Molecule: long non-coding RNA, 3273 nt
Organism: Anguilla rostrata (American eel)
Lineage: Eukaryota; Metazoa; Chordata; Actinopteri; Anguilliformes; Anguillidae
Exons: 3
Source: RefSeq, a predicted model, not a curated record
GGAGAAACCCGUCACGUGAGCAAAGCGUUUGGGAAACCCUCUGAAUGCUAAUCAAGCUUCAGCGGGAAAGCACAGCUGCUUCACGCAGCCAAGCUCAGCAACGGUGGACCUUAACUUUUCUUAUUCGCUUCUAAACGCUUAAUGGAUAUUCCCCAAAGCGUUGCCGGUUCCGCCACUAGUGUAUAGAAAACAUACUAAUUGUUGAAUUUUUAAAAAGUGAAUGUGCAUUAUGUAUUACACAGGAUUUUUGGUAACGAUUUCUAGGAGCAUUGGGGUGUCUCCGUAACAUUUCAAUUUGACAUGAACCAAUGUCGACCCUCAAAGGAUCCAAUCCAAUGCAGCUGGGGACUGAGUGUCGUUCAUUGCGCUCAUAAGUGUUCUUGUUAAUAGCACCCCUGUCCUCCAGCUCGUGGUGACAUGCAGUCUCUCAUAUCUCCAAUUACCAAGGCUAUUUUAGUAGCUUUAUUUAUUUUUGCGAUCUUGCUCAUCCUUUAUGUCAUUUUAUGGUACAUAUGCCGAGACGUGGAUUGUGACCACGGCAUCUGAUUAGAGGAACUGGACAGAUUUGAAGAUAUAAGCAACAUAAACUGACAUUGAGAAGCUGGGUGGGUAUUAAGGAGUCCAUUUAGUGGAAGCAAUUGGAAUGAUGAGUCAGUGACACUGCAGUGGACAGCACAUGAAAAGAAGAACUGGAGUGAGUCAGAGUGGAGAAACGGCAUAAACAAGACCUUGCCAGAGAGUGCCUGCAGUGUCACCUGCCCUAAGUUCGGGACGGUCAUCAUAUGGUGGCAGUAAUGAGGACCUCCAAGGCAGGCUGUGGAAACAGUGCAGGGCCUCUCAGAGCCUGCAGGAUGAGGGCCACAGGAAGGACUGAGGGUCCCGCUCUCUCUUCCUAAUAAGACAACCUCAUCUCUGCGAUUAUCGUGCAAAGAGUGAUAAUUCUUAUGAGAAUAUUUACACGAAUACGACACACACGAACACGAAAGAAAGAGGUGUGCUAGGACCUCAAUGUGCCUCAUACACAGAACCAGCAGAACCCUUCACUUCGCUAUAUACACAUGCCCAUGCACUCGCAUCACAAAAAUAGUUCAUGAAUUUUCUUAUUUUUGGCAAAAGAAAAACCCCUGCUGAGAUAAAACUUGUUAUAGAGAUCGUUUCUUGAAUGGAACUAGUCAGCCGAGAAGCAUUGUGGAGAAAUGCACAGCGAACUGAUAAAGAUGGGAAACAAUUUGUGCUGCAAUCAUCAAUUUCCAUUUCAAAGUGAAGAGCUGAAGACAAUGUCAGAGACUCACAUAAUGUCAAGCCAUUCCCCUCUGUUGCACUGCCAACAUGCACAGAUGCUUUAGAAUCUUCCGGUAAAGAAGCAUCAUGCAGGUAAUUGGCUUCUCAUCUUAUUUUGGGUGAUAUUUAAUUGAAAUCAUGUUGAUUUACAUUACUGUGAGGAACCCAUGAAUUUUAAACUUUUAUGUGUUCUGAAAUAACAUUAGGAUGCUGUUCAUUUCUAUUUGACUGACCGUUAUUUCUGUGUUACUUGAAUAAGAACAGACCACAUUUACAAUUAAGCCCUCUAACAAAAUGGCUGGUUGAUCUGUUAUAUUUCUAAUGACAAUGUAACCUGCCACCUAUUGUAGUCUUUGGGGGAAAAAAACAAUUAAAAAAACAAGCGUAACAUUGAUGCAGCUGAAAUUCUGAUGUGUUUGCAUAGCUGUUGGAAGAAACUGCCAAAAGUGAUGCAAAUGGCAUACUGGGCUUUGGAACUAUCUGGUCUUUCCUGGAUUCUCUGAGUCUGACUUUUAGACACAUUACAUUUUAGACACCUCUGUCUUGUGUGUGUCCAUGUGCUUAUGCACGUGCAGAAAUAUCAACAAAUCUUGCAGACUUGAUGAGCAUAGCAAUUACCAAGAAAAGUGUAACUAUCAUAGGAAAAGAAACAAACUAAGUAAAAAAAAGAAUCAAUUAAACAAUGUUUGUAUAUGAAAUGCCAAAUAAUAGCCACUGUGAAUUCUUUUUAUAUUUACCAUGCUGGUGGGUAUGACUGUCAUACAAAUUUAAAUGAAUAUUGAUACUGUGAGGCCUUUGAAUCUGAGACUUGUGUGGCAUGAGUGAGAAUGGAGUAUGAUCAAAAAUGAAGGUUAAUUAUCUUUGGCUGUUUUUUUUUUUGUUUUUUGUAGUGCAGUACCAUUCUAAUAACACAGAAAAAUGUUCUAUGUAAAAAAAUAAUCACUUUGUUAAUUUCAAAUCACUUUUAGAGUUAAUUUAGCACUUUGAACUCAUAAUUACAGUGGGUUUUUAUUUUCCUUCAGUUUUAGUGUUCAUGAUCUGGAUAUGUGAUUUCCUGGUUUGGCAACCCCCAAAAUUUCUAAGGGCGUGUCCAUAUAUACAUAAGAUAAGGUAGAAAUUAUUUUGAAAUGGAACAAUGCAUAUUAUCAAUUUGUUUUGAUGGACUAUUUUUGAAAUGUAAUGGGGCGACAUAGCUCAGGAGGUAAGACCGAUUGUCUGGCAGUCGGAGGGUUGCCGGUUCAAACCCCGCCCUGGGUGUGUCGAAGUGUCCUUGAGCAAGACACCUAACUCCUAACUGCUCUGGCGAAUGAGAGGCAUCAAUUGUAAAGCUCUUUGGAUAAAAGCGCUAUAUAAAUGCAGUCCAUUUCAUUAUCAUAUUGAACAGAAAGACCUUUGUAAAGAGAAUGGCAAAAUUCUUGCUGCUGUUGAAAUGUGAAUAUUAAAUUAUUUGUUUCAUACUAGUACCAACUACAAAUAGGUAAUUGAUACACCACUAAUAAUACGACAGAAAGAAGUAAUGAUGUUAGUAAUUUCUGAUAUUGACUGGAGUCAUCUUAUAUUUUGUAUUGCCACAAUAAUUCCAUAAUCAGUAAUCCAACAAUAAUUUUAAUCUCAUAAUAUUUCAUAUUUUUUUCAGAAUAGAUCUAUAAAGUCUUUUUUUUCAUAAUCUGAUUUCGUGAGAUUGUGAAUGCAGACUUAGAAGAAAAAAGUUAAAUAAUUCUAUUUCUGCAUAAUUGGGUUAUUUAUUGUUUUCAUUUAACUGCAGGGAGUUUUUAAAAUGCAGUUUCUCUGGUUGAGGGCUGCUGACUUCCAUGUUCACUUGUAUUGGAAAGUACUGCUCAUGUGACUAAUUAAAGAGCUAUAUAUGUGUUAAGUGUUUGUUCUUUUUCAGUAAUGUGCUAGUGUUAUGUCAUCGUAACCAUUAUUUGUUCAAAAACUUGUCAUAUUAUAUGUUUGAUUAAAAUACCCAUGAGAAAACCUCUCAGCACUCUU